Rhododendron vialii is the source of this 108-nucleotide small nucleolar RNA. RefSeq annotates it as small nucleolar RNA snoR100. The transcript has a single exon. The record is from RefSeq and is a predicted model, not a curated record. Lineage: Eukaryota; Viridiplantae; Streptophyta; Magnoliopsida; Ericales; Ericaceae.
CAAUGAAGGAAACAUGAUAAUGUGCACAUAAAUUGAAUUGGCUCUUUAGGCCUGUCAUCUCUGAUGCCAUUUGGCUUUGAUCUGGAUGUAUGGUUCCGCAACAAAACA